Haplochromis burtoni (Burton's mouthbrooder) is the source of this 3605-nucleotide long non-coding RNA. RefSeq lists it as uncharacterized. The record is from RefSeq and is a predicted model, not a curated record. The transcript is spliced from 3 exons. NCBI's taxonomy places the organism in Eukaryota, Metazoa, Chordata, Actinopteri, Cichliformes, Cichlidae.
UGAGUCAUUGUUCCACACCUCUUCUGAGACUCAACUUUCCAGCACCAUUCAUUCAUGCAAUUCCUUGCAUAACAAAACACACCUUUACGCAUUUUACAUACAUAUAAAUACCCACGGUAACCAUUACAUGAACACAGCUAUAGAGGAUGAGUGAGACUCCUGACAAUGUGGAAAAUCCUUCAUCCACCAGCAACCAUGAUGGCGAUGAUUCCUCUGAUUUUAGAGGUAUGUUGGUGCAAUUAUUAUAUAUUCUAGCUUUCACACAGUGAAUAACUACCAUCUUCAGUUUGAUUUGAUUACUAAGGGAUUGAAGUGUUUCCUUUCUGUCUCAUCCACUCCUCUGCUUCCCAAAGUAAAGUAUGAGCAUAAAGAAUGAGCACAGGGUGAAAGCAGGAGGUAGAUAGUCGAGUUAUCCACUGCAAAGGAUGCAAAGGGUUAAAGUGCUUGUACAUCUAAAAUCUUAUGAAACAGAAUUUAAGAAUGUCACAUUGAAGAGAUUAUUUGAUUUUAGCAACAGAAACAUAAUCUUAAAAAAUAUAUCACUUACACCAGUAAUACGCAUUACAUCAUUAAUGUAUCAGUGGGAGGAAUUAUCACCAUAGUGCCAAUUGUGUUUAUGGUGUAUGGCGUUUAUAAAUAAAUGUUUUCAUUCUGCCGACUGUGCUUGUUGGCUGUUGAUAUUGAUGAUUAUUACUAUGUGAUAUUUUUUCUGUUUGUGAUUAUAUUUGCUCAGACCUGUGUUCUGUUAUAUAAUACAGAACACAUGGUCUUUAUAACUCCAUCCAUCCAUCUGUAUUUUAAUGACUCGUAUGGAUAAUAACACAUUUUUUAAGAGUUUAGGGACUGAUAGAAUAUAUUAAGAUCUGUACUAGGUCAAAAUGAAAUUAGUGAAUAUAUAGAGAGUUUGUAAUAGUUUAAUUUUUUUUUCAGAAAUCAUCAAAUCACUACAAGAAGCAAACGUAAGUGUAAUUUUGAUCAUAUUUUAAAUAUCCAGUGCUUCUGCUAUCAUAUCAGUGCUUUUUACAUUCACUACCUUGUAAUAAAUAUUACGUAUAAGCAUUUAUUCUUCAUUAUGCAGGCCAUCGUUUGUUGUUGCCAGUUCACUGGAUUAGACAAAAGUUUAAUUUUGUAGACCACGACCAAAAUAAUCAACGAUAUAAUUUUGGUUGAAACCUUCUACAAGUCUCCACAUACCUCUAAAUGGACUCCAAUGCUCCGUCAGCAAGUUCGUUUGGAGUACAACAAAAUCAGUGAGAUUCUGAAAGAAGCUGGGCAGAGGGAUGGACUGAGGUCAACCUCCUUUCAUUUGUACCCUAACCGUCUUCCAGUUAGAUUACCAAGCGAUACGAGAGGUCUUUGGAGAAGUUUUUUAAAGAAGAUUGUUAGUGAUGAUGAGAAACAACAUGCAGUUGCUGCUCUUUUCAUUAAUGGUUGCAAAGAAAUAAUUUCUAUGAAGUUUAAAAUUGACAAACAAUGCAUCCCAACCUCAAGGGGAAUAAAAGCUUUUAAUAAACACUCAGAGGAAGCAGCGAUAGAAUGGAUUGAUAACACCUUAAAACAACUUUCAAACAUUGUACAGAGAGGGGGUUAUAUUCUCAUUUACACCUUCAAUAGUCCAUGUGUUAAAAGAGAGGAUGACAAUUUGACACCUUGCUAUUUUCUCAUAAAAAAAAUCAGAUGAAUGGCAAGUAAAAUAUAAUCUUUCUACUGAUGUUGGAUUUUCAAAUAUAUUCGGACCGAUUAGCAUUACAAAAGUUGUUGAAUACAUUCAGUAUUCUAAAAUUUCAAGUUCAGGUAGUAUUUUUUACAAAUACAAAGACGAAAAGGAUUGGCAAGACAAAAUACAACAUAAUUUAAACGAAGUAUUUGUUUAUUUCUUUAUAAAGUACUCCAAGCUUAUUUGGAGGAAAAAAUGUUCUGUAAAUUUCCAUCUAAUUGACAAAAACACUUUGUUGAAAGAAUCCAUUUCUCAUAAUUUUGGUCUUAGCGGUCUUAGUUUUAAUUUACACCUAAAAAAGAUUGGUGUUUGGUCCAGGGUGUACCCUGCCUCUCGCCCCAUGAUAGAUGAAAUGGGCUCUAGCCCCCCCUUAACACAGAAAAUCUUAUGUCUUAUACCUUAUUUUCACAAUUCCAACCAAUCAGACGAAUUGAAAAUUGGAUUUAUGAAGUACAGUAUCUUAUAAAAGGUACUAUAUGAAAUCCCACAUACAGACUGGAUACAAACAAUUUUAGACAACAUAAUAGCUUCUUUCUCUGUGAAGUACCCCGAGCUUAUUCCUGGGAGCAACUGUUUAUUAAAAUUUAAAUUAAUUGAGAUAAAUACUGAAACGAAAGAGUACACCAUUAUUAUUAUUAUUCAUCAUGUUAAUGGUUUCUUUUUUAAUUUGGCUCAACAACAGUCUGGCGAUCUGGCAAUGGUCUACCCUUCCUUUCACCAUAUGAUAGCUCAGAUAGGCUCCAGCCCCCCCUAUGACCCUGACAAUCUUUACAUUUUGAUCUCUAAUGCAAACCAAUGAAAUAUUCUGUUUUAUUUGCCAUUCUAUUGAAGUUGGGUAAUAAAAAACUGCCUAUAUUGUAAUCUGAAUUUUAAUUCAGAAAAUUACCUUUGUGUAUGUCCAUGUAUCGCAGCAGCAGCUUCUUGAUGUUUGUACUGCACUCUAAAAAGAGUUGAUCUCCCAACUCUUUUUAGAUUGACUCUUUUUUUAUACUAUACUGUAUACAACUGUACUUGCCUGUUAUGUUUCCUCUCUUACAUUAAAAUAAAUAAAUGAUGAUUUGAGUUUGCAAGCCUUUACUGUUUAAGUCAGAGUUCAGUUACACAGGUACCACUCCGCUGACAUACCACCCUGUCCAUGAGAAUACUGAUCAUUGUAGUAGUAAACAAAAAAGAAGAUCCUGAUUUCCUUUUUUUUUAAAAUAUCUAGGCAAUGUAUAUUUCCUUUAGAUAAAUAAUAGUAUCUAACAAAGUGCGAAAAACAUUUGACCAUCUCAAGUUGAAGCCAUAAACAAACACAUUUAAAUGAUGUGACGCGUAGCUUUUCCAUAAAACAUCACAAACUCAUUCCGAGAAACAACUGCUCAGUGAAAUUUCACUUCAUUGACAAUUGACAGGAGAGUCAAGGACUAAAGUUGCAAUAAGCAAUGAGAAUAAUAACACUCAAAGCCUUUUUGAUCCAUUCACUUUUUUUAUGCAAGUGCUUUCUAUCUAGCAUUCACACACGUUAACACUCUUAUGGACCCAUCGGAGAGCAACCUAGGGACUGUCUUUGGGCAAGACAGAAUUCGGAAUUCGGCUUUUGCUGUCUUCAUUUGGUAAUAAGAUAUACCAUUUUGUAUAGUAAAAAAAAAAUGUUGUGUACCUUUUUUGUCAUCAACAAAAUGUAGUGCUUUUGUUUAUGCAAUUAGUUUUAAAGAGAAGGAAAGCAGGAAGCUCAGGUGCUGUGUAAAACCAAUCUGCUUUCAACUGUACAAUCCACAGAAACACACAAAUUUAAUGUUCUUUAUUAGUAUUUUAUUGACCAUUACAUGACCUUGUUAAGUACCACUGUGCCGGCACAUGAAAUUAUCCUCUUUGAUGUGGAGCUUUGAGAACUGGGAUAAACGCA